UACGGAGGGAGCUAGCGUUGUUCGGAAUUACUGGGCGUAAAGCGCGCGUAGGCGGCUUUGUAAGUUAGAGGUGAAAGCCCGGAGCUCAACUCCGGAACUGCCUUUAAAACUGCAUCGCUUGAAUCCAGGAGAGGUGAGUGGAAUUCCGAGUGUAGAGGUGAAAUUCGUAGAUAUUCGGAAGAACACCAGUGCGAAGGCGGCUCACUGGACUGGUAUUGACGCUGAGGUGGCGAA
This 234-nucleotide ribosomal RNA is filed under the name uncultured bacterium. Its description in RNAcentral is "partial 16S ribosomal RNA". It matches the Rfam family "Bacterial small subunit ribosomal RNA", at positions 524 to 757 of the family's 1533-position model. The record is from RNAcentral.